GGGGCUGACAUGGAUUUGACAGCAAGAUGAGGUGGUACGUAAGCAUGCAGAGCGCUGAUAACAGGCUCUCAAAUCUCAGUUAUCAAACAAUUAUCUGGCGAAAACACUUACGCUCUCGCUGCUUAAUCGAAGUAUAGUAGAUUAGCUUUAUCCCUUUGCCAGGCGAAGGGACGAGACAUCGCCCUGAAAGCUAUCCGUCCCGAAGCGUUCAGAUCCGCGGUGUAGGAAAAUCGGGAAUAGUUCGAGUUGGCCUCGCGGCUCGGAUGAAAUCUUAAAGGAUAAGGCAGCAAUUGGUGGUCCAGGUCUUGUUGCUGCACGAAAACCGAAGGCUGGAAUAAGCAUGUAGAAAGCGUAUGGCUUCCUUGUUUGGACGAGGGUUCAAUCCCCUCCAGCUCCACA
Molecule: transfer-messenger RNA, 399 nt
Filed under: bovine gut metagenome
Rfam family: transfer-messenger RNA
About the family: Bacterial tmRNA, also known as 10Sa RNA or SsrA, is named for its dual tRNA and mRNA-like properties. Its role is to liberate the mRNA from a stalled ribosome.
Source: RNAcentral